ACAUUAAUGUUUAUUACAUCAUUCUCACUUUACUAUCUUUACCUUAUUUUAUUUUUCCUUCAUACAUCCGACCAUUUGAUCAUGUCACUGAUACUCCCUCAUCUACCUCCUUUGUUUUCUAUAGAUGGGAAGUCCAACACCGUUUGGCAAUGUACCGCCGUUCACCCGAGUCUACUACCCCUCCACGAACGACGACCAGUUGUUCAAUGCCCCUUUGGCGGCACUGUGUGCGUUCCUCGACCUGCCACCACCC
Molecule: long non-coding RNA, 253 nt
Filed under: Brachypodium distachyon (stiff brome)
Lineage: Eukaryota; Viridiplantae; Streptophyta; Magnoliopsida; Poales; Poaceae
Description: long non-coding RNA (BDIS_LNC003328)
Source: RNAcentral